Long non-coding RNA from Oncorhynchus gorbuscha (pink salmon), 1513 nucleotides. RefSeq lists it as uncharacterized. The transcript has 2 exons. NCBI's taxonomy places the organism in Eukaryota, Metazoa, Chordata, Actinopteri, Salmoniformes, Salmonidae. The record is from RefSeq and is a predicted model, not a curated record.
CCCUCUAGUUUACAUUGACGUCACAGGAAGGCGGCUCUCUGCGCGCACAGGUGUUCACCACAGGUGGAGGGUGAGGAAAUGUGCGUCCUGUAAAACGAGUUCAGCUCUUCCCUGCCGUUAUUUGAGCUCAAUCACUCAUACAGCUUAGGUAUGGCUCACAACUGCGUGGGGAACUGUGCGCCGUUAUUUUUCCUAGCCAUCGCUUUUGACGUCUGCGGUUUGAUAGUUAUUUUUGUUGGUAUUUUCGCCGAUCUAAAGUUGGACGGUCACUUCUACGGUGAUUUCCUAAUCUACACGGGUGCACUCAUCAUUUUCCUCAGUCUGGCUUGGUGGAUUUUGUGGUACACGGGCAACAUAAUGGUUUACUCCGAGGACUUUGAUAAAAGCACCCUGGACAAUUUUGCGCACUGGGCAAGAAAGUUGUCGGAAAGGCUCUCGAAGAGCAAUAUUAAAACUCUGGAAGCUGGGGAGAAGUGCAACUGGAAUGGAAAGGAAUCAGUGAACGGAACGGUUCCUGAUCAAACUCUAUCACGAAUUACGUGUGAACACAGCAGCAGCCUGACGGGACACGACAAUCUAGGAUAUGACCGAAGUUUUGACCACCAGCCUACAGAGAAAACGGUGGAGUUGGGGAUUCUGAAUGAUUCUGAGGUGUUGCAGAGCAUUAUGGAUAGAAAAGUGGUUAGGCUUCUCUGACACACAGUUGGUGAUCUCUGGUUCUCCGGUUUUGAAGAACGUAUGCCUCACUCCUCCCCAAGAGCUGCUUUUUAAAUCCAUACAGACUGUAAACCUUUUCGCCUAUAUGAACUAAAGACACUUUAAAUAUAGAAGACUACUUUCAUUCAGGGAGAGGCCCCGCGCUGAAGCAAUCUCCGGGCCCUGCACAAAGGAUAGAAAUGUCUGUGAAUUUUACUUGUAAAUGGAUAAAUAACUAGAUGAUUUUUAUGUCCUGAAUUUUACAUGGUCUGUUUUGAAGAUGUUUUUUUUAGAAAAUAAUAACGCCAUUUCUCUGGGUUCUUUAAUCAGACUUCUGUGACUAGAUAGCUCACACAACAACAAAGAUAUUGGAUUCCACUUCUGCUAGAAGUAGGUGUUAUUCAGACAAAUUGAGGUUCCAGAAAGAGAUAAUUAAUUAGAUAAUUAUAAUAUUCAAAAUCCAUUUGAGGGACAUCAACAAAUCAAAACCACUUCCAAAGCUCAGAUCCUUUAUUUGUGUUUAUCUUUAUUUGCUACAUGCCUAUCUGACUGGUCUGUUUGGGGUGUGUUGAUUGCACUACGCUGUCUGUCUGCCACUGGUUAUACUGAUGACAUAUUCCCUACACACACACACACACACACACUGAGACGGUAUAGAAUGUAUCAUGUAGAACAGAUAAGAUUGUCUGUACUAUUCAUUAUAUUUCUAUACGCAACAUCCUGAACCUAGCUGAAUACACACCGGCACAAGGACUAUCUCCAUUCCAGAAACUGCCUUGUCACCUGUAGAAAAUAAAUAAAUACAUCUUUACAAACA